GAGUUUGAUCCUGGCUCAGGAUGAACGCUAGCGGGAGGCCUAACACAUGCAAGCCGAGCGGUAUUUGUUCUUCGGAACAGAGAGAGCGGCGCACGGGUGCGGAACACGUGUGCAACCUGCCUUUAUCUGGGGGAUAGCCUUUCGAAAGGAAGAUUAAUACCCCAUAAUAUAUUGAGUGGCAUCAUUUGAUAUUGAAAACUCCGGUGGAUAGAGAUGGGCACGCGCAAGAUUAGAUAGUUGGUGAGGUAACGGCUCACCAAGUCAAUGAUCUUUAGGGGGCCUGAGAGGGUGAUCCCCCACACUGGUACUGAGACACGGACCAGACUCCUACGGGAGGCAGCAGUGAGGAAUAUUGGACAAUGGGUUAGCGCCUGAUCCAGCCAUCCCGCGUGAAGGACGACGGCCCUAUGGGUUGUAAACUUCUUUUGUAUAGGGAUAAACCUACUCUCGUGAGAGUAGCUGAAGGUACUAUACGAAUAAGCACCGGCUAACUCCGUGCCAGCAGCCGCGGUAAUACGGAGGGUGCAAGCGUUAUCCGGAUUUAUUGGGUUUAAAGGGUCCGUAGGCGGAUCUGUAAGUCAGUGGUGAAAUCUCACAGCUUAACUGUGAAACUGCCAUUGAUACUGCAGGUCUUGAGUAAAUUUGAAGUGGCUGGAAUAAGUAGUGUAGCGGUGAAAUGCAUAGAUAUUACUUAGAACGCCAAUUGCGAAGGCAGGUCACUAAGAAUUAACUGACGCUGAUGGACGAAAGCGUGGGGAGCGAACAGGAUUAGAUACCCUGGUAGUCCACGCCGUAAACGAUGCUAACUCGUUUGGGGGGUUUCGGGCUCAGAGACUAAGCGAAAGUGAUAAGUUAGCCACCUGGGGAGUACGUUCGCAAGAAUGAAACUCAAAGGAAUUGACGG
Molecule: ribosomal RNA, 904 nt
Filed under: uncultured Chryseobacterium sp.
Lineage: Bacteria; Pseudomonadati; Bacteroidota; Flavobacteriia; Flavobacteriales; Weeksellaceae
Description: bacterial SSU rRNA
Rfam family: Bacterial small subunit ribosomal RNA
Source: RNAcentral